Molecule: long non-coding RNA, 2903 nt
Organism: Gadus macrocephalus (Pacific cod)
Lineage: Eukaryota; Metazoa; Chordata; Actinopteri; Gadiformes; Gadidae
Exons: 2
Source: RefSeq, a predicted model, not a curated record
UGGGGGAGAGAGGGGGUGUUAAGAGGGAGGGAGAUGGCUGAGAGGGGGUGUUGCGAUGGAGAGAUGGGGGAGAGAGAGUGUGUUAAGAAGGAUAAAGAUGGGUGGGAGAGGUAAAUGCUUGGUACACACUAAAUGAUAAUUUGCCUGAUUGCGUGGCCAAUUUUCUCCUUCCAACGCUAGCGAGCAAAGGCCCGAUUUUUUGAUGGUUCUUACGAUUUGGUUGCCAGAUUACCCUUUUGUGUGGGGUAUUUUAAUUCUCUUUUAAAGGACUUGGCCGGUUCGCCUGAUACCGCAGGUGAAUUGAUGACAUUGUCUGUGUCGAGUUGUAAACCAUACCUGUUUUUUCUCCGUUAUGGCGCGUAGUGUGAUUGGUCAGUUGGCCAGUGUUUGACAUCCAUUACGCUCCAGAUGAGUGUUCAGCACGAUCUCGUAAAUGGAGCUCAGGGUUCUCCAGCAAAAGUGCAAAUGAACUGCCCCGGCUGGGUCGUUUAUCAUCUUUAACCCAUGAACGAAGCAAUCAACUAAUAACAUUAACUGGUUUGAAGGCAGCAAUAUGCAAUCUGUGUUCGCGCUCACGGACGUAGCGACAGAGCUAGACACUGAGCGGCGAUACUUUAGGACUCUUGAAUGUUAAAUGCUCUGAUCACGAGCACGGCGGUGAACCUUGGAUCCAACAGUGGAUUGUUUGUUGCUUCGACCCACCGGGUUCACUGGACUGGUUCAGUUCGGGGAAAAAAGGAGGAUUUGUUCUGUGUCCGUUCAUAAAACCGUGAACGGAGCACUUUAGAUUCAGAGGUGAAUGCUGAGGCCGUGAUUUAGAUUGCACUCUUCCUGCAGAUACCCUCGCGGCUUGGAGAAAUGUUGCUUGGUAUUGAUGGUGCGUUUUAGUAUUCUCUGCGAAACAUCUCGGAUCUGACGCCACGCCCACACUUCAAGCGUUUUAUUAUUUUGCUCGGCCGUUGGAGGAAAACAUGGACGCCACCCGGAAAGCUGUUGUCGCGGUAGCAUUGGAAGAGUACCAUGCGCUCCAAAAUAGGUAGGCUAUAGGCCAUAGGCAGAGAUACGGACGCAGUAAGGUAUUGCAGUAAUACGAGUGAUUUGAAAUUGACAUUUAAUCCACCAAAGCGGUCCAAGCACAAUGAAAACAGUUCACGCUUCAAGUCACACUGGGCGCAGCCAUCUUGAAUUCUGUCUCGGAAUUUUGCUCGGUCACCACUGAGUUCAACCGAGAUGGCGAGUUCGCCGUCCGAGGAAAUGGGGCGUUUUCGUGCGUGUCGCUAGGCAACGUCCUCGGACCUCCGAGACGGAUGGAUAAUAAAACGCUGCAUUAGCUUCCGAAGCUAACGAAGAUAGCGGCGUGGCCGCUAUCGUCGUUCAGAAUCAUACUGCCUACGGGGCUUUCUUGUGUCGGACCCUCAGAGUUUAAUUAGAAAUGUUUUGACCAAAGUGGACCCUUAGAGAUUUGUGAGAUUUCCGGAUUUGAGGACAGGGUUUUAGGGAACUGGGUUGUUAGGGAAUGGAGUCGGUUGUUUCCAUUCCAAUAUGGUGUGCUGUUCUGGCCGAUCAUUGCCCUCCUCUCACCUAAUGAGCAGAACCUUUAAAUGUAUGUUAAUAUGUCGUUGGGCGUGUGGUCUGUCCUGUUCUCUGUGAAAAACGGAAAGGUAGAGCGAGAGGUAGGGAGAGAGAGAGAGAGAGCAGUUUAAAAGUGUGGAGGUGGGAGAGAAAAACAAAGAGAAAGGCAGCGAGGUACAGCUAGAGAGACGGAGAUGGAGAGAGGUUGAGAAGGGAGGGGAGGGCGAGAGAGGGAGGGGGAGAGGUUGAGAGGGGGAGGGAGAGCGAGAGUAAGAGCGAGAGAGUUCUUAAUCAGAGUUCUUAACUUGGACCUGAAGGUCGCCGGGGUCGCUCGGCAGCUGCAUCUGGGGUGAGGGUUAACGUCUCUGAUGUCUGGAGUUAAACGCCUGCUACCUGUCGGGUUGCCUAGCAACAGCUGCAGGUGUGUGUGUGUGUGUGUGUGUGUGUGUGUGUGUGUGUGUGUGUGUGUGUGUGUGUGUGUGUGUGUGUGUGUGUGUGUGUGUGUGUGUGUGUGUGUGUGUGUGUGUGUGUGUGUGUGUGUGUGUGUGUGUGUGUGUGUGCCUCCCUGCCAUACAAGUGACUGUAGAUAGACAGCUGAGUGCUGGAACUCGCACAUUAUUACUGCGCUGAAACACCUCCAGACCUCCGCAGGCACACCACACACACACACACACACACACACACACACACACACACACACACACGCUGAUCACUGCAGUGAAGAAAAAUUCUGUUGUGAGGAGGAAUGUAGCGGUAUCUUAACGAGAUACAAGCAUUUCUAUUAAGAUCCAAAAAUACCACAAAACAAGCACAUAGUCUGGGCUGUGGCAGCGCAGCGAGUUUUCACACACACACACACACACACACACACAACACUUGGAAGCUUAUUAAACCCCAACUUAUGUGUUACAAUGCGCAGACCCCCGACAGAGAAACACGUGGAAUUUAAUUAAGACGCGCACGAACACACACGCAGCCUCAAGUGUUGCACAAAGCCCUACGAUUUUCUAUUCAUAAUUAAUUAGUUUUUACUGAUACUUUAUUGUAUUUGGCUCUGUCCGACUGUCCGUCUGUAUUUCUGAUGAGAGCGUGAGUGAGAGAGGGAGAUGGAGGGAGGUUGAACGAGAGCGAUGGACACACAGACACACACACACAGACACACACACACACACACACACACACACACACACACACACACACACACACACACACACAGACACACAGACACACAGACACACACACACACACACACACACUCGUCAGAGAGGAGUCAGGAGGAGGGGAUGGGAGGUGAAUCAGAGAACAAGGACUGAUCAGCCCCCUGGUUCUGU